CAAGCGUUGUCCGGAAUUAUUGGGCGUAAAGAGCGCGUAGGCGGUCCGAUAAGUCGGCUGUGAAAACUCGAGGCUCAACCUCGAGACGUCGGCGGAAACCAUCUGGCUAGAGUCCGGAAGAGGAGAGUGGAAUUCCUGGUGUAGCGGUGAAAUGCGCAGAUAUCAGGAAGAACACCCGUGGCGAAGGCGGCUCUCUGGGACGGUACUGACGCUGAGACGCGAAAGCGUGGGGAGCGAACAGG
This 242-nucleotide ribosomal RNA is filed under the name uncultured bacterium. RNAcentral describes it as "partial 16S ribosomal RNA". It matches the Rfam family "Bacterial small subunit ribosomal RNA", at positions 535 to 776 of the family's 1533-position model. The record is from RNAcentral.